This 472-nucleotide ribosomal RNA is filed under the name uncultured bacterium. Its description in RNAcentral is "bacterial SSU rRNA". It matches the Rfam family "Bacterial small subunit ribosomal RNA", at positions 8 to 526 of the family's 1533-position model. The record is from RNAcentral.
AGAGUUUGAUCAUGGCUCAGAACGAACGCUGGCGGCAUGCCUAACACAUGCAAGUCGAACGAAGCCUUCGGGCUUAGUGGCGCACGGGUGCGUAACGCGUGGGAAUCUGCCCUUGGGUUCGGAAUAACAGUUAGAAAUGACUGCUAAUACCGGAUGAUGUCUUCGGACCAAAGAUUUAUCGCCCAAGGAUGAGCCCGCGUAGGAUUAGCUUGUUGGUGAGGUAAAGGCUCACCAAGGCGACGAUCCUUAGCUGGUCUGAGAGGAUGAUCAGCCACACUGGGACUGAGACACGGCCCAGACUCCUACGGGAGGCAGCAGUGGGGAAUAUUGGACAAUGGGCGAAAGCCUGAUCCAGCAAUGCCGCGUGAGUGAUGAAGGCCUUAGGGUUGUAAAGCUCUUUUACCCGGGAUGAUAAUGACAGUACCGGGAGAAUAAGCCCCGGCUAACUCCGUGCCAGCCGCCGCGGUAAUAC